CCAACCCGUCAUGUUCCUCAUCUUUUGGCGAAAACAAACUGUUAACACCCACAACCAACUCUCAUUCUCCCACCUGCAACCCCCCAUUCCUUCCCCAGCACCAAUUUAAUUUUUGCACCCCAACCCCGACUCCUCCUCCGCCGGCGAAAACCCCUCAACCACCUCCAUCUUUUCCACCCCACCUAACUCCAUCCCACCCAUAAGAAACAUAUAUUGCAAGGAGGGUGGGGCUAGAACCAAGACAUAAAGAUCGGGGGUAGGGGUGGGUGUGGUGAGAAAUUGCACGGACGAUGAAUAAGGGAGGGUGGGGUCUUCAAGGUGUGAAGGGUGUGGGAGAGAUUGGAAAGUGAGAGAAAUGACAAAUAU
Molecule: non-coding RNA, 366 nt
Organism: Prunus avium (sweet cherry)
Lineage: Eukaryota; Viridiplantae; Streptophyta; Magnoliopsida; Rosales; Rosaceae
Source: RefSeq, a predicted model, not a curated record